CGAGCGGCGGACGGGUGAGUAAUGCUUGGGAACAUGCCUUGAGGUGGGGGACAACAGUUGGAAACGACUGCUAAUACCGCAUAAUGUCUACGGACCAAAGGGGGCUUCGGCUCUCGCCUUUAGAUUGGCCCAAGUGGGAUUAGCUAGUUGGUGAGGUAAUGGCUCACCAAGGCGACGAUCCCUAGCUGGUUUGAGAGGAUGAUCAGCCACACUGGGACUGAGACACG
Molecule: ribosomal RNA, 227 nt
Filed under: Pseudoalteromonas sp. FRA000026
Lineage: Bacteria; Pseudomonadati; Pseudomonadota; Gammaproteobacteria; Alteromonadales; Pseudoalteromonadaceae
Description: partial 16S rRNA
Rfam family: Bacterial small subunit ribosomal RNA
Source: RNAcentral